GUCCCAAGGGUUGGGCUGUUCGCCCAUUAAAGUGGUACGCGAGCUGGGUUCAGAACGUCGUGAGACAGUUCGGUCCCUAUCCGUCGCAGGCGUAGGAAAUUUGAGAAGACCUGUCCUUAGUACGAGAGGACCGGGAUGGACGUACCUCUGGUGUACCAGUUGUCCUGCCAAGGGCAUGGCUGGGUAGCUAUGUACGGAAUGGAUAAGCGCUGAAAGCAUCUAAGCGCGAAGCCAACUUCAAGAUAAGAUUUCCCACCGCAAGGGUAAGACCCCAGAAAGACUAUCUGGUUGAUAGGUCGAAGGUGUAAGUGCAGCAAUGUAUUUAGCUUAUCGAUACUAAUAGGUCGAGGACUUGACCAAU
Molecule: ribosomal RNA, 361 nt
Filed under: Clostridioides difficile
Lineage: Bacteria; Bacillati; Bacillota; Clostridia; Peptostreptococcales; Peptostreptococcaceae
Description: partial 23S ribosomal RNA
Rfam family: Bacterial large subunit ribosomal RNA
Source: RNAcentral